Molecule: ribosomal RNA, 277 nt
Filed under: uncultured eukaryote
Lineage: Eukaryota
Description: partial 18S ribosomal RNA
Rfam family: Eukaryotic small subunit ribosomal RNA
Source: RNAcentral
UAGUCAUAUGCUUGUCUCAAAGAUUAAGCCAUGCAUGUCUAAGUAUAAACAUCUUUAUACAGUGAAACUGCGUACAGCUCAUUAUAUCAGUUAUUAUUUAUUUGAUGGUACCUUACUACAUGGAUACCCGUAGUAAUUCUAGAGCUAAUACAUGCGUAAAGUCCCGACUUUUUGGAAGGGAUGUAUUUAUUAGAUUAAAAACCAAUGCAGGCAACUGCUCCUUUGGUGAUUCAUAGUAACUUUAACGGAUCGCACGGCUUCACGCUGGCGACAGUUC